This 479-nucleotide ribosomal RNA is filed under the name uncultured bacterium. RNAcentral describes it as "partial 16S ribosomal RNA". It matches the Rfam family "Bacterial small subunit ribosomal RNA", at positions 28 to 523 of the family's 1533-position model. The record is from RNAcentral.
GACGAACGCUGGCGGUGUGCUUAACACAUGCAAGUCGAGCGAUGAAGCACCUUCGGGUGUGAAUUAGCGGCGAACGGGUGAGGAACACGUGAAGAAUCUGCCUUCAACUCUGGGAUAACUCCGGGAAACCGGGGCUAAUACCGGAUAUGAGCCUUGAUCGCAUGAUCGGGGCUGGAAAGUUUUUCGGUUGAAGAUGACUUCGCGGCCUAUCAGCUUGUUGGUGAGGUAAUGGCUCACCAAGGCGACGACGGGUAGCCGGCCUGAGAGGGCGACCGGCCACACUGGGACUGAGACACGGCCCAGACUCCUACGGGAGGCAGCAGUGGGGAAUAUUGGGCAAUGGAGGAAACUCUGACCCAGCGACGCCGCGUGAGGGAUGAAGGCCUUCGGGUUGUAGACCUCUUUCAGUAGGGAAGAAGCGAAAGUGACGGUACCUACAGAAGAAGCACCGGCUAACUAUGUGCCAGCAGCCGCCGUAA